This 468-nucleotide ribosomal RNA is filed under the name uncultured bacterium. Its description in RNAcentral is "partial 16S ribosomal RNA". It matches the Rfam family "Bacterial small subunit ribosomal RNA", at positions 28 to 507 of the family's 1533-position model. The record is from RNAcentral.
GACGAACGCUGGCGGCGUGCUUAACACAUGCAAGUCGAACGGAAAGGCCCUGCUUUUGUGGGGUGCUCGAGUGGCGAACGGGUGAGUAACACGUGAGUAACCUGCCCUGGACUUUGGGAUAACUUCAGGAAACUGGGGCUAAUACCGGAUAGGAGCUCCUGCUGCAUGGUGGGGGUUGGAAAGUUUCGGCGGUUGGGGAUGGACUCGCGGCUUAUCAGCUUGUUGGUGGGGUAGUGGCUUACCAAGGCUUUGACGGGUAGCCGGCCUGAGAGGGUGACCGGCCACAUUGGGACUGAGGUACGGCCCAGCCUCCUACGGGAGGCAGCAGUGGGGAAUAUUGCACAAUGGGCGGCAGCCUGAUGCAGCAACGCCGCGUGCGGGAUGACGGCCUUCGGGUUGUAAACCGCUUUCGCCUGUGACGAAGCGUGAGUGACGGUAAUGGGUAAAGAAGCACCGGCUAACUACGUG